GACGUAGGUGGCGAACGUUAUUCGGAAUUACUGGGCUUAAAGAGUUCGUAGGCGGCAUUGCAAGUAGGGUGUGAAAGCCCUCGGCUCAACCGAGGAAUUGCGCUCUAAACUGCAGUGCUUGAGGAACCUAGAGGUGAGCAGAACAGAUGGUGGAGCGGUGAAAUGCGUUGAUAUCAUCUGGAAUACCGGAGGCGAAGGCGGCUCACUGGGAGUUUUCUGACGCUGAGGAACGAAAGCCAGGGUAGCGAACGGG
This 253-nucleotide ribosomal RNA is filed under the name uncultured bacterium. RNAcentral describes it as "partial 16S ribosomal RNA". It matches the Rfam family "Bacterial small subunit ribosomal RNA", at positions 524 to 776 of the family's 1533-position model. The record is from RNAcentral.